UUAUUAUGAGAGUUUGAUCCUGGCUCAGGACGAACGCUGGCGGCGUGCCUAAUACAUGCAAGUCGAACGCUUCUUUCCUCCCGAGUGCUUGCACUCAAUUGGAAAGAGGAGUGGCGGACGGGUGAGUAACACGUGGGUAACCUACCCAUCAGAGGGGGAUAACACUUGGAAACAGGUGCUAAUACCGCAUAACAGUUUAUGCCGCAUGGCAUAAGAGUGAAAGGCGCUUUCGGGUGUCGCUGAUGGAUGGACCCGCGGUGCAUUAGC
Molecule: ribosomal RNA, 267 nt
Filed under: Enterococcus faecalis
Lineage: Bacteria; Bacillati; Bacillota; Bacilli; Lactobacillales; Enterococcaceae
Description: partial 16S ribosomal RNA
Rfam family: Bacterial small subunit ribosomal RNA
Source: RNAcentral